Bacillus cereus Rock3-44 is the source of this 110-nucleotide non-coding RNA. The record is from Rfam. Lineage: Bacteria; Bacillati; Bacillota; Bacilli; Caryophanales; Bacillaceae.
CUCUUAUCAAGAGAGGUGGAGGGACUGAGCCCUGUGAAACCCGGCAACCGUCAACUUUUAUGUUGAAAUGGUGCCAAUUCCUGCAAAGCAAAUGCUUUGAGAGAUGAGAG